Molecule: transfer RNA, 316 nt
Filed under: Planktothrix agardhii No274
Lineage: Bacteria; Bacillati; Cyanobacteriota; Cyanophyceae; Oscillatoriales; Microcoleaceae
Also listed under: 1 other name
Description: partial 16S-23S ribosomal RNA intergenic spacer
Rfam family: tRNA (bases 86-158)
Source: RNAcentral
GGCUAUUAGCUCAGGUGGUUAGAGCGCACCCCUGAUAAGGGUGAGGUCCCUGGUUCAAGUCCAGGAUGGCCCACCUAAAAAAUGUGGGGGUAUAGCUCAGUUGGUAGAGCGCUGCCUUUGCAAGGCAGAUGUCAGCGGUUCGAGUCCGCUUACCUCCACUAAAAAUAUUCCUAGAACAAAUCAGCACUACGGCUUUCGCGAGAAAGAAAGAGUAAAUGCUGGAAAAAGUUCCAGCCAGAACCUUGAAAACUGCAUAGAAGAAUCAAAAGGGAUCAACAAUGAAACCAGAACCGGGAAUCAGAAACCCGGAAAAGUU